RNAcentral lists this ribosomal RNA (232 nucleotides) under Staphylococcus warneri. RNAcentral's name for it is "partial 23S ribosomal RNA". It matches the Rfam family "Bacterial large subunit ribosomal RNA", at positions 433 to 668 of the family's 2925-position model. The record is from RNAcentral. Lineage: Bacteria; Bacillati; Bacillota; Bacilli; Caryophanales; Staphylococcaceae.
UCCGUCGGAAUCUGGGAGGACCAUCUCCUAAGGCUAAAUACUCUCUAGUGACCGAUAGUGAACCAGUACCGUGAGGGAAAGGUGAAAAGUACCCCGGAAGGGGAGUGAAAAAGAACUUGAAACCGUGUGCUUACAAGUAGUCAGAGCCCGUUAAUGGGUGAUGGCGUGCCUUUUGUAGAAUGAACCGGCGAGUUACGAUUUGAUGCAAGGUUAAGCAGCUAAUGUGGAGCCG